RNAcentral lists this ribosomal RNA (492 nucleotides) under uncultured bacterium. RNAcentral describes it as "partial 16S ribosomal RNA". It matches the Rfam family "Bacterial small subunit ribosomal RNA", at positions 29 to 507 of the family's 1533-position model. The record is from RNAcentral.
AGUGAACGCUGGCGGUAGACCUAACACAUGCAAGUCGAACGGCAGCACAGUAAGAGCUUGCUCUUACGGGUGGCGAGUGGCGGACGGGUGAGGAAUACAUCGGAAUCUACUUUUUCGUGGGGGAUAACGUAGGGAAACUUACGCUAAUACCGCAUACGACCUACGGGUGAAAGCAGAGGAUCUUCGGACCUUGCGCGAUUGAAUGAGCCGAUGUCUGAUUAGCUAGUUGGCGGGGUAAAGGCCCACCAAGGAGACGAUCCGUAGCUGGUCUGAGAGGAUGAUCAGCCCCACGGGACCGGGACCACGGUCCAGACUCCUACGGGAGGCAGCAGUGGGGAAUAUUGGACAAAGGGCGCAAGCCUGAUCCAGCCAUACCGCGUGGGUGAAGAAGGCCUUCGGGUUGUAAAGCCCUUUUGUUGGGAAAGAAAAGCGGCAGGUUGAUACCCCGCUGUUCUGACGGUACCCAAAGAAUAAGCACCGGCUAACUUCGUG